UAGGGAAUCUUCCGCAAUGGGCGAAAGCCUGACGGAGCAACGCCGCGUGAGUGAUGAAGGUCUUCGGAUCGUAAAACUCUGUUAUUAGGGAAGAACAACUGUGUAAGUAACUAUGCACGUCUUGACGGUACCUAAUCAGAAAGCCACGGCUAACUACGUGCCAGCAGCCGCGGUAAUACGUAGGUGGCAAGCGUUAUCCGGAAUUAUUGGGCGUAAAGCGCGCGUAGGCGGUUUUUUAAGUCUGAUGUGAAAGCCCACGGCUCAACCGUGGAGGGUCAGUGGAAACUGGAAAACUUGAGUGCAGAAGAGGAAAGUGGAAUUCCAUGGGUAGCGGUGAAAUGCGCAGAGAUAUGGAGGAACACCAGUGGCGAAGGCGACGUUCUGGUCUGUAACUGACGCUGAUGUGCGAAAGCGUGGGGAUCAAACAGG
Molecule: ribosomal RNA, 429 nt
Filed under: Actinomycetes bacterium
Lineage: Bacteria; Bacillati; Actinomycetota; Actinomycetes
Description: Actinobacteria bacterium partial 16S ribosomal RNA
Rfam family: Bacterial small subunit ribosomal RNA
Source: RNAcentral